CUUGGUCAUUUAGAGGAAGUAAAAGUCGUAACAAGGUUUCCGUAGGUGAACCUGCGGAAGGAUCAUUAUUGAAUAAACUUGGUUGGGUUGUUGCUGGCUUUUCGGAGCAUGUGCACGCCUAGCGCCAUUUUUACCACCUGUGCACUUCUUGUAGAUUUGAAACACCUCUCGAGGCAACUCGGUUUGAGGAUUGCUGUGCGAAAGCCCGGCUUUCCUUGCGUUUCAAGUCUAUGUUUUUACAUACCCCAUAAGAAUGUUUUAGAAUGUCAUUAAUGGGCUUGACAGCCUCUAAAUUAAUACAACUUUCAACAACGGAUCUCUUGGCUCUCGCAUCGAUGAAGAACGCAGCGAAAUGCGAUAAGUAAUGUGAAUUGCAGAAUUCAGUGAAUCAUCGAAUCUUUGAACGCACCUUGCGCUCCUUGGUAUUCCGAGGAGCAUGCCUGUUUGAGUGUCAUUAAAUUCUCAACCCUUUCAGCUUUUGCGAGUUGGAUUGGCUUGGAUGUGGGGGUUUGCGGGCUUCUCAGAAGUCGGCUCCUCUUAAAUGCAUUAGCGGAACCUUUGUGGACCAGCUUUGGUGUGAUAAUUAUCUACRCCAUGGUUGUGAAGCAGCUUUACAUGGGGUUCAGCUUCUAACCGUCCAUUGACUUGGACAACUUAUGACAUUUUGACCUCAAAUCAG
This 679-nucleotide ribosomal RNA is filed under the name Lepista irinoides. RNAcentral describes it as "eukaryotic LSU rRNA". Lineage: Eukaryota; Fungi; Basidiomycota; Agaricomycetes; Agaricales; Clitocybaceae. The record is from RNAcentral.